CUCUACUGCACAGUUUGACAGACAAAUGAUAAACCUAACACAUGCAUGCUCUGAUUUCCUUGGUAGGUCAUAUUUUUCACUUUCUGGAUGUGCAAAGUUUGGAUAGUACACAUCACCGGGCCAAACCUUUCUCAGGAAUGUCAUUCUAAAAGGAUAUUGGCAGGAGGGGGUGGAAUGUCAUUCUAAGAUAUAUAUAUCAGCAGCAAGGGUGUGGAAGCUCACACGCUCAGAUUUCAACGCGUUUCGAAGGUGGAAAUGACAAGAAUGUGCAGUGUGGACCUCCAAUUUCUAGUGCUAUGAUGCAUGAGGACUGCCAAAGUGAGAAUACUGGUUAGUUGUCAUCAAGCAGCCCUUGUAGAUGUGUAUUUUGUUUAUAUAUUGCUAGUUUAACCAUUAGUACGUUUGACUUGGGGAUACAAGCUUGGAUAUGUUAUAUUUUGUUGUAUAUAGAGAAUCCCGGGUAUGUCCAGCAUAGGAUAACAUGUAUUUUUUGGUUUAACAUUUGGAUGGGUUGUAUUGUUAGGUUGCAUGAAUCGGUCUUAGCCGAGAACAUGGGUUAUGUAAUAUAUUAACUUCACUAUUUUAGUGCUAAUGUUGAUUUAUGUUUAGUUUGUAA
Molecule: long non-coding RNA, 616 nt
Organism: Pyrus x bretschneideri (Chinese white pear)
Lineage: Eukaryota; Viridiplantae; Streptophyta; Magnoliopsida; Rosales; Rosaceae
Exons: 2
Source: RefSeq, a predicted model, not a curated record